UACGUAGGUCCUGAGCGUUAUCCGGAUUUAUUGGGCGUAAAGCGAGCGCAGGCUGUUAGAUAAGUCUGAAGUGAAAGGCUGUGGCUUAACCAUAUUAUGCUUUGGAAACUGUUUAACUUGAGUGCAGAAGGGGAGAGUGGAAUUCCAUGUGUAGCGGUGAAAUGCGUAGAUAUAUGGAGGAACACCGGUGGCGAAAGCGGCUCUCUGGUCUGUAACAGACGCUGAGGCUCGAAAGCGUGGGGAGCAAACAGG
This 252-nucleotide ribosomal RNA is filed under the name uncultured bacterium. Its description in RNAcentral is "partial 16S ribosomal RNA". It matches the Rfam family "Bacterial small subunit ribosomal RNA", at positions 524 to 776 of the family's 1533-position model. The record is from RNAcentral.